GCGCCGGUAGCUCAGUGGAUAGAGCAUCAGACUUCGGAUCUGGGGGUCGAGGGUUCGAAUCCUUCCCGGCGCGCCA
This 76-nucleotide transfer RNA is filed under the name Dehalococcoidia bacterium. Its description in RNAcentral is "tRNA-Arg". It matches the Rfam family "tRNA". From Rfam's summary of the family: Transfer RNA (tRNA) molecules are approximately 80 nucleotides in length. Their secondary structure includes four short double-helical elements and three loops (D, anti-codon, and T loops). Further hydrogen bonds mediate the characteristic L-shaped molecular structure. tRNAs have two regions of fundamental functional importance: the anti-codon, which is responsible for specific mRNA codon recognition, and the 3' end, to which the tRNAs corresponding amino acid is attached (by aminoacyl-tRNA synthetases). tRNAs cope with the degeneracy of the genetic code in two manners: having more than one tRNA (with a specific anti-codon) for a particular amino acid; and 'wobble' base-pairing, i.e. permitting non-standard base-pairing at the 3rd anti-codon position. Lineage: Bacteria; Bacillati; Chloroflexota; Dehalococcoidia. The record is from RNAcentral.